This 456-nucleotide long non-coding RNA is filed under the name Calidris pugnax (ruff). Its description in RNAcentral is "lncRNA (ENSCPUG00000019457.1)". Lineage: Eukaryota; Metazoa; Chordata; Aves; Charadriiformes; Scolopacidae. The record is from RNAcentral.
CAGCAACACCUAUGGGACCAGUUGCCCAAAGCAAAUUCUCUGUUGGCUUACCUAAAAGAUGAAGAUUUCAGGAGUUUGCAAGGAGUUUUUAAGAUCCUGCCCUGUUUCAGGUCUCCCAGAAGAAGAUGGCUGGGCAGGCUCAGCUCUGCUUUCUUGCUGGGCUUUUUUGGUGGCCUACGUCUCCAUUGGUGCACCUUGACUGCCCCGCUGAGAAGCUUUGGUGAGGACUUAGACCACCACUACAGAGCACCAUGGCAGAUCUUUUUUUUUCCUUUAAAUGAAAAGUAUGAAGUUUCCACAGGAAGCAGGAACAUUCUCCAAAAUUGUAAUUAUGUCAAAGACACAGCACUUUCUCUUCUGGAUGAAGAAGCUGAGUCUGUCCAAGUGAGAAGCCUAAGAACAGCUCAGGGGGCUGGAGAGAGAGAGCCAACUGCACGCAGUCUGCAAACAAGCUGA